UACGUAGGGUGCGAGCGUUGUCCGGAAUUACUGGGCGUAAAGAGCUCGUAGGUGGUUUGUCGCGUUGUCCGUGAAAACUCACAACUCAAUUGUGGGCGUGCGGGCGAUACGGGCAGACUGGAGUACUGCAGGGGAGACUGGAAUUCCUGGUGUAGCGGUGGAAUGCGCAGAUAUCAGGAGGAACACCGGUGGCGAAGGCGGGUCUCUGGGCAGUAACUGACGCUGAGGCACGAAGGUCAGGGGAGCAAACGGG
RNAcentral lists this ribosomal RNA (253 nucleotides) under uncultured bacterium. RNAcentral's name for it is "partial 16S ribosomal RNA". It matches the Rfam family "Bacterial small subunit ribosomal RNA", at positions 524 to 776 of the family's 1533-position model. The record is from RNAcentral.